RNAcentral lists this ribosomal RNA (238 nucleotides) under uncultured bacterium. Its description in RNAcentral is "partial 16S ribosomal RNA". It matches the Rfam family "Bacterial small subunit ribosomal RNA", at positions 15 to 235 of the family's 1533-position model. The record is from RNAcentral.
GAGCAUGGCUCAGGACGAACGCUGGCGGCGCGCCUAACACAUGCAAGUCGAACGGAGUUUACAGGCAGAAGUUUUCGGAUGGAAGCUUGUAAACUUAGUGGCGGACGGGUGAGUAACACGUGAGCAACCUGCCUAUCAGAGGGGGAUAACGAUUGGAAACGAUCGCUAAUACCGCAUGACAUAGCGGAACCGCAUGGUUCUGUUAUCAAAGAUUUUAUCGCUGAUAGAUGGGCUCGCG